This 471-nucleotide ribosomal RNA is filed under the name Salmonella enterica subsp. enterica serovar Anatum. RNAcentral's name for it is "bacterial SSU rRNA". It matches the Rfam family "Bacterial small subunit ribosomal RNA", at positions 1 to 468 of the family's 1533-position model. The record is from RNAcentral. Lineage: Bacteria; Pseudomonadati; Pseudomonadota; Gammaproteobacteria; Enterobacterales; Enterobacteriaceae.
AAAUUGAAGAGUUUGAUCAUGGCUCAGAUUGAACGCUGGCGGCAGGCCUAACACAUGCAAGUCGAACGGUAACAGGAAGCAGCUUGCUGCUUCGCUGACGAGUGGCGGACGGGUGAGUAAUGUCUGGGAAACUGCCUGAUGGAGGGGGAUAACUACUGGAAACGGUGGCUAAUACCGCAUAACGUCGCAAGACCAAAGAGGGGGACCUUCGGGCCUCUUGCCAUCAGAUGUGCCCAGAUGGGAUUAGCUAGUUGGUGAGGUAACGGCUCACCAAGGCGGCGAUCCCUAGCUGGUCUGAGAGGAUGACCAGCCACACUGGAACUGAGACACGGUCCAGACUCCUACGGGAGGCAGCAGUGGGGAAUAUUGCACAAUGGGCGCAAGCCUGAUGCAGCCAUGCCGCGUGUAUGAAGAAGGCCUUCGGGUUGUAAAGUACUUUCAGCGGGGAGGAAGGUGUUGUGGUUAAUAACC